This is a ribosomal RNA of Otolemur garnettii (small-eared galago), 118 nucleotides long. NCBI's taxonomy places the organism in Eukaryota, Metazoa, Chordata, Mammalia, Primates, Galagidae. The record is from Ensembl.
GUCUGUGGCCAUAUCGCUCUGCUCAUGCUGCUCUUGUCUGAUCUCAGAAGCUAAGCAGAGUUGAGCCUGGUCCCUCCUUGGAUGGGAGACCACCUGGGAACACCAUAUGCUGUAGGCU